Molecule: ribosomal RNA, 424 nt
Filed under: uncultured bacterium
Lineage: Bacteria
Description: bacterial SSU rRNA
Rfam family: Bacterial small subunit ribosomal RNA
Source: RNAcentral
UAAGGAAUAUUGGUCAAUGGACGCAAGUCUGAACCAGCCAUGCCGCGUGGAGGAUUAAGGCCCUCUGGGUUGUAAACUCCUUUUAUCUGGGAAGAAAUGCAUUUUUUCUAAAGUGCUUGACGGUACCAGAGGAAUAAGCACCGGCUAACUCCGUGCCAGCAGCCGCGGUAAUACGGAGGGUGCAAGCGUUAUCCGGAUUCACUGGGUUUAAAGGGUGCGUAGGCGGGCAGGUAAGUCCGUGGUGAAAUCUCUGAGCUUAACUCAGAAACUGCCAUGGAUACUAUUUGUCUUGAAUAUUGUGGAGGUAAGCGGAAUAUGUCAUGUAGCGGUGAAAUGCUUAGAUAUGACAUAGAACACCAAUUGCGAAGGCAGCUUACUACACAGUUAUUGACGCUGAGGCACGAAAGCGUGGGGAUCAAACAGG